CGGAGGGAUCAUUAAAGAGUUCUAUAACUCCCAAACCCAUGUGAACAUACCUAACGUUGCCUCGGCAGGUCGCACCUACCUUGUAGCACCCUACCCUGUAGGGCCUACCCGGGAGGUGCGGGUAAGCCUGCCGGCGGCCCACCAAACUCUGUUUGAUAUUGAAUUCUGAACCUAUAACUAAAUAAGUUAAAACUUUCAACAACGGAUCUCUUGGUUCUGGCAUCGAUGAAGAACGCAGCGAAAUGCGAUAAGUAAUGUGAAUUGCAGAAUUCAGUGAAUCAUCGAAUCUUUGAACGCAUAUUGCGCCCAUUAGUAUUCUAGUGGGCAGGACCGUUCGAGCGUCAUUUCAACCCUUAAGCCUUCGUUGCUUAGUGUUGGGAGCCUACGGCAACGUAGCUCCUCAAAGUUAGUGGCGGAGUUGGUUCACACUCUAGACGUAGUAAUUUUUUAUCUCGCCUAUUAGUUGGACUAAUCCCCUGCCGUAAAACCCCCAAUUUAUCAAGGUUGACCUCGAAUCGGUUCAGACAAACUCGCUAAAUUGAAGCAUCUUAGUCAGCGAAGGAAAAGAAACCAACAGGGAUUGCCCUAGUAACGGCGAGUGAAGCGGCAACAGCUCAAAUUUGAAAUCUGGCCCUCGGGUCCGAGUUGUAAUUUGU
RNAcentral lists this ribosomal RNA (656 nucleotides) under fungal endophyte. RNAcentral's name for it is "eukaryotic LSU rRNA". The stretch from base 191 to 344 matches the Rfam family "5.8S ribosomal RNA". The record is from RNAcentral. Lineage: Eukaryota; Fungi.